This 441-nucleotide ribosomal RNA is filed under the name uncultured bacterium. Its description in RNAcentral is "bacterial SSU rRNA". It matches the Rfam family "Bacterial small subunit ribosomal RNA", at positions 958 to 1398 of the family's 1533-position model. The record is from RNAcentral.
AACGCGAAGAACCUUACCUGGUCUUGACAUCCAUGGAAUCCUAUAGAGAUAUGGGAGUGCCUUCGGGAAUCAUGAGACAGGUGCUGCAUGGCUGUCGUCAGCUCGUGUCGUGAGAUGUUGGGUUAAGUCCCGUAACGAGCGCAACCCUUGUUGUUAGUUGCUAGCGAGUAGUGUCGAGCACUCUAAUGAGACUGCCAGUGACAAGCUGGAGGAAGGUGGGGACGACGUCAAGUCAUCAUGGCCUUUAUGACCAGGGCUACACACGUGCUACAAUGGGCUGAACAAAGGGAAGCGAACCCGCGAGGGGAAGCGGAUCUCAAAAAACAGUUCGUAGUCCGGAUUGGAGUCUGCAACUCGACUCCAUGAAGUUGGAAUCGCUAGUAAUCGCGGAUCAGAAUGCCGCGGUGAAUACGUUCCCGGGCCUUGUACACACCGCUCGUC